This is a long non-coding RNA of Passer domesticus (house sparrow), 851 nucleotides long. RefSeq lists it as uncharacterized. The record is from RefSeq and is a predicted model, not a curated record. NCBI's taxonomy places the organism in Eukaryota, Metazoa, Chordata, Aves, Passeriformes, Passeridae. The transcript is spliced from 6 exons.
CACCUCAUUCAAGCACUCCACUGCUAUUUGCACAAAACGAGACAAGACUACCCUGCAAUAAUUACUCUCUGAAGGGGGAAACAGGCAUAUUUUCUCUGCUGGCUUUUGCAGAAGUGCAUUUCUUUAGAAAAGCUUGCCUCAUGUUUAAUGCAUUUUCAGCUUAAUGAUAUUUUGUGCCACUGAGCUCCACCAGCCUAUUAAUUCAGUCUAGACACUCACCAGCUGUUCCCACCUGAAAAAGGCAUGGAAGACCAGAGUAAUAUUUGAGGUCAAUUGUCCUGAUUUUAUGGACCAGGAACAACUUCAUAAAACAAAUUAUUUGGAAGGAUGAAUGAAGUAGAAAACAGAAAGAACAGAAACCCACAUGGUAUAGAACAAAAAAUGGUCUGUAGGAUUCAUGGCAUAAAAUAGCUAUAAGCUAUGGCCCAAGCAAAGUCCUGUGUGAUACACAUGCUGUGAAGAGCCUCAGAUUUCCACUUAAUCACAAUAUUGUCCCUUGAAAACCCAACAACAGGUUUCAGGUCAUGUGCAACAUCUUCCACUGAAUAUGUCCUCUAACUCUCCAAAAACCUGUAUCCCAGGCCAGUUCAUAUCUGCCUGUCUUUGAAUGUCUGCAGAAACCAAGAAUUAUUUUCCUGAGGAAAUAAGAAAAAGAAGAAAUUAAAAGCAUGGGUGUACGAGAAUUCUCCACUGACAAUGACAGCAACCAGUUACCUGUCUUAAGCUAUGACCCAGUUUCUAAAUAUCAGUAUUGAGGUGGGAUAAAGUUAGGCCAAAAUAACCUAGAGAAGUAAUACAGUGGUGAGAAGUUUUUUAUUGAAAGUCCUUUUGUGGGUUUGUUUUUAUUCUUU